Non-coding RNA from Ciona intestinalis (vase tunicate), 487 nucleotides. Lineage: Eukaryota; Metazoa; Chordata; Ascidiacea; Phlebobranchia; Cionidae. The record is from RefSeq and is a predicted model, not a curated record.
GUCUUAACUUCAACAGUUUCUUCCGUAGCUUCAAGCGUAUCAUUUCUUUGCUUCAGUGAAACACCUAAAAUAGUAUCAGGUACGGUUGCAGUAACAACAUUAACAAAUGGCUACAACCCCAUUUCCUAAGAGGGGUGGAAGAAAGACCACGUAUUUUGGCAAUUUGGUAUUCAGUGGCUUGGAUCCUUUCCACUUCAUGAACAAAUUUUUGGUACGGGAAUUUAUUUCUGCACUCUACAUCGAUAUUCUAUUCUAUUCUAUGUGAGUGAGGUCCCGCGGCGUGGCACGCCAUGGGUCCUAGGAUUUAGGCCAUAAUUGACCCAUUACCCUAACACCCGGGGUGCUACUGAACUCUACAUCGAUAAAUACAAAAUCAAGUACACAACAAUACUAAGUUUCAAAACAAGUUUUUACUCAUUCCAUCGUCAAAUACCUGUUGUGAAUGCCAGCACCGAAACAAAACUUAUUAAAAGUAAGAAACUCCUCA